UCUAAGCUCUUCACAAGUCCAGCCUAGCUAUGGUGGAGGAACUCGAAUUACGUCAUCUUCAUAUGAUGAAUUUGAAGAAUAUGAAAGCCAAUCAAGUAACAACACCG
Molecule: long non-coding RNA, 107 nt
Organism: Medicago truncatula (barrel medic)
Lineage: Eukaryota; Viridiplantae; Streptophyta; Magnoliopsida; Fabales; Fabaceae
Exons: 2
Source: RefSeq, a predicted model, not a curated record